ACUCCUACGGGGAGGCAGCAGUGGGGGAAUAUUGCACAAUGGGGCGCAAGCCUGAUGCAGCCAUGCCGCGUGUAUGAAGAAGGCCUUCGGGUUGUAAAAGUACUUUCAGCAGUGAGGAAGGUGGGUGUGUUAAUAGCAUACNCAUUUUGACGUUAGCUGCAGAAGAAGCACCGGCUAACUCCGUGCCAGCAGCCGCGGUAAUACGGAGGGUGCGAGCGUUAAUCGGAAUUACUGGGCGUAAAGCGCAUGCAGGUGGUUUG
Molecule: ribosomal RNA, 260 nt
Filed under: uncultured bacterium
Lineage: Bacteria
Description: partial 16S ribosomal RNA
Rfam family: Bacterial small subunit ribosomal RNA
Source: RNAcentral